This 1151-nucleotide small RNA is filed under the name Rattus norvegicus (Norway rat). RNAcentral's name for it is "uncharacterized LOC108350428". The record is from RNAcentral. Lineage: Eukaryota; Metazoa; Chordata; Mammalia; Rodentia; Muridae.
GACGCGGUCGCUAUGGUAACUCGUCCGGGUUUCUGAGGUUUCUGUCAACAGUGAGAGGAAUAGUGAAGAAAUGCCUUUCUCCAUUUUGCUCUAAUUCUCCCUUGGUCCCGGCACUACGAUUGUUGCAUCCCUCCACAUCUCCUAAGGAGUGGGUGCCAGCUGACAAUGGGAGAGACUGUGUAACAGAGCGAGAUAGCCACGGACUUCCUAGUAGGCUCCACUUCCCUACCCAAGCCACAGCAACACACACGGAAGACUAGAUGACGUCCUUUGGGGAGUGCGCAUUCUGAGAAAACUUACAUGAAGCAUCUAUAACCGCGCCCAGCUUAAGAUAAGGCACACCUCGUUUCACCUCUUUGUGCUUCUGCACAGAAAAUCAGACCUUCUGUUGCAAGAUGGCCCUAAGGAUUUGACAUUGAUCACCAUCAUAGAAUUGGAACUUACAAAUAUUUUUCUCUUGGUAACACUCUGCAGAUGGUUAAGAGCCAGCACGUGGUUGCUGGGGAUUGAACUCAGGACACUGUAGCUAACCAUUGUCGGUAACUCCAGUUCCCGGAACUCCAGCACUGUCUCUGCCCUCCAUGGGCAGCCCACAUGCGAGUGAUGCACACAUACAUACAAGUAAAGCACCCGCAUAGACAGCAAAACUUUGAAGAAAGAUAAUUUGUUUCCAGCAAAUCUGGACUAUAAGAAUGUCUGACAAACAACUUAAAUCAAGAAAGAGAGUUUGUUCACCUCCUGACAGACAAGAGAUGGGGAGGUGCAGAAGAAAGAGAGAAGAACAGAGAGGAAGAGAGGGGAGGGAAAAAGGAGAGGAAAGCAGUCUGGGGCAAGAAAGAUCCAAGGACCCACUGUAGUGACUUACUUCCUUCAGCUGCAAAGUGGCUAUAAGUUUCAAGUGGUCCCUGAAAGAACACCUCAGCUGGACUCAACCCCUCAAAUCACAAGCCUUUUGGAAGACCAGUUCACAUCCAAACUGAACAGUACAUUUCCUAGAACACCAAAGUCUCAUGUGCGUCUCACAAGGUAAUAUUUGGUAUACCAAGGGUUCCCAAAGCCUUAUCAGUUCAAACAUUGUUGACAAUUUAGGUUCAAUUAAGAUCUGAGACUCAAGGCAAAUUUUUACUCUUAGGCUCUAUAAAAUAAAACAA